Non-coding RNA from Cricetulus griseus (Chinese hamster), 681 nucleotides. The record is from RefSeq and is a predicted model, not a curated record. Lineage: Eukaryota; Metazoa; Chordata; Mammalia; Rodentia; Cricetidae.
CAUGCUCAAAGAAAAUGUGUCCUUGAUUAUGACUCAUGGCUCUAUUCCGUUGACAAAAACUGGGUUAAUGUGAUCUCAUUGGACGAAUCUCCAGUAUGAGAGAGUGCAUACAUGCCUGAAGAAAGAAAAGAGGAUGAGGGGUGUAGGACCAUCUACUGGACAUGCGUGGUUGGUGAUUUGAAUGAGAAUGUCUCCCAUCAACUCUGGCGUUUGAACACUUGGUUCCCAGUUGGUGGUGCCGUUUGGGAAGGGAGCUCAAAGGAGUCAACUUGUUGCAAAGAAGUUGCCGCAGCUGUCAGGACAUCAUGAAGAGAAAAAUGGUGGAAAGAGACAAAUGAUCAGGCCUCAGCAUGCUAAGAAAAAGAGCAGGCUUUGAAACUGCUAACUAGCAGCAUCCCUUCUAAGCAACACUUUUAGACCAUUAGCACAAAUAUAGAGUAGACGGCUCUCAACAACCUCACUGCCUAGAAGCAAAACUAGAAUCAAACAUGGAACAAUAAUAUCUAAUGGAGGAGGGCAUGAGUGUCUGGCAAUAAUGGCUGGGGUGAAGUUUAUCUGGGAGGGAAGGGUGUCCUAACCAUGUGUCUGGUAGGAAUGUAGCAAUCAUUAGAAAACUGCCUGUCUGUAAAUGGGUGGUAAUAUAUGGCAAAUGAGUUUACAAUAAAAUCCUUUCUAUCGUUA